This 200-nucleotide unclassified non-coding RNA is filed under the name fungal sp. RNAcentral describes it as "partial internal transcribed spacer 2". Lineage: Eukaryota; Fungi. The record is from RNAcentral.
UUAAGUUCAGCGGGUAUUCCUACCUGAUCCGAGGUCAACCUUGAGAAUUGGGGGGUUUUACGGCGUGGCCGGGCCAGGCACGUCCCGCGAGGUGUGCUACUACGCGGGGGUGCCAGGGCGCGACCGCCACUGGAUUUAGGGGACGGGCGACUCGCUGGGAGCGCCCGAGCCCCAACACCGGUUCCCCCGGGGCGCGAGGC